GGCGGACGGGUGAGUAUCGCGUUUGUAACCUACCUCUAACUGGAGAAUAGCCCGAAGAAAUUCGGAUUAAUACUCCAUAAUACUAUGAAUUGGCAUCUUUUUAUAGUUAAAGCUCCGGCGGUUGGAGAUGGGCAUGCGUGACAUUAGUUUGUUGGUGAGGUAAUGGCUCACCAAGACAACGAUGUCUAGGGGGUCUGAGAGGAUGGUCCCCCACACUGGUACUGAGACACGGACCAGACUCCUACGGGAGGCAGCAGUGGGGAAUUUUCCGCAAUGGGCGAAAGCCUGACGGAGCAAUACCGCGUGCGGGAGGACGCUUUUUGGAGUGUAAACCGCUUUUCUCAAGGAAGAUGAUGACGGUACUUGAGGAAUCAGCAUCGGCUAACUUCGUGCCAGCAGCUGCGG
This 405-nucleotide ribosomal RNA is filed under the name uncultured bacterium. Its description in RNAcentral is "partial 16S ribosomal RNA". It matches the Rfam family "Bacterial small subunit ribosomal RNA", at positions 97 to 520 of the family's 1533-position model. The record is from RNAcentral.